RNAcentral lists this long non-coding RNA (902 nucleotides) under Oryctolagus cuniculus (rabbit). Its description in RNAcentral is "lncRNA (ENSOCUG00000033294.1)". The record is from RNAcentral. Lineage: Eukaryota; Metazoa; Chordata; Mammalia; Lagomorpha; Leporidae.
AUGGCGCCUGUGCAGUGUAGGUCUUCCAGGUAUGGGAAGAACAGCACAGUGCUCGGCCUCUCUCUCGGGGCAAAGGCUGGCUCCAGGCUCGCCAGUGCAGUCACUCCCUCUUCAGCAUGUGCGGGGACUCCAUUUCCCAGCCUUCCAAACGGUACGAUUAGAGUCUGGUCACUGGAUUCUAGAACAGGUCUGACCCUGAAUCUCAUCGCGCAAUCUUCCACUUGUUCUCUCACCAUUCAUGAGAGAGGACAUCAAGGACUCCUGGUGGCCGGAGUCUGCAGCCCCCCUGGGCCAGGAGACCUCAGGCCUACCCCGGACCUAAACACGGGCAAGACAGAAUGGCAAGCUUGGGGAUACAGAGUCCACAGCACCCAAGCCCACGAUGGAUCUGCCUGUGACACGCAAGGCUGUCACCUACCACGUUUUUCACAGACCAACAACCGACAGACACCUCCUAGCAAAUCCCAUCCCCCCAGCAGGUGGCAGGAAAUGGAAGCACCUAAAGAGAGCCCAGCCAGGAAAGACAACCCUCUUCUCGUGCAGUCUCCAGACAGGACAAGUAAGAAGCAAUUUUGCAAAACAAUAACCUUCAAGGGUUGCGAUCUCUAUGUACUUCUGUUCUUCGGAGGCAGAACGUGUUCUGCCAUCAUGUUUUCCCUGGAGAAAAAAAUACCCCAUCCAUUUCUACAAGUGCUAGCAAAUCACACACAUGUAUUUUGUUUCUUGUCAUUCUGUAAGCUGCUCAGGAACCAAUAAAUAAUGUAUGUAUUUAAUGCAUUAAUCAUCUAUCCUGUAUAUCUGUACACCGCACACACACACACACACACACACGUGCUCUCCGGUGCUUGUGUCAAAGCUAUCUUCUCUAUUAGUGGAAAAUAAACAACAUCUUGGGUUUCCCA